GCCUGCUUAGCUCAGCUGGCUAGAGUGCACAAGAACCUUAUCUCUCCUUUUCUCUGGACUUGUGAGGCCGCGAGUUCGAUUCUCGCAGUGGGUA
Non-coding RNA from Hymenopellis radicata, 94 nucleotides. The record is from the annotation of a GenBank genome assembly. Lineage: Eukaryota; Fungi; Basidiomycota; Agaricomycetes; Agaricales; Physalacriaceae.